AUGUCACUAACAGUUGGCUGGGGAAUAUUUCGUAGUGAAGAAAUGUUAACAUUUUACAUUUUACCCACAGAUCCUUUUCACUUCCACACGACCACACAUCCCCCAGCAUCCACUAAACAGAGCAGAACAACAUCCAGCACAUCUGCUCCCCGAACAUCAGAAACAUCAUCUCUAUUCUGUGUUCGAGUGUGAUGUAAAAUCACUAAAAGCAGCUUCUUCAAAGAGUUCAGGUUCAUAUUUUGCCAGCUGCAGGAAUCACAAACCUGACUGUUUGGUUACUGUCAGCAACUAGUGGGAGGCGCCCCCUUGAGGGGGAUUCUGAUAACAGUGUUUUUUUAUUUUUCCUGCAUUGACGUCACAGAAUUUAAAGCUGGACACACAGUUUUUUAGUACAUUUAAUUCAUAACCUGUCAUUGUCUGGGGGCUCCAUACCAGUCCAGCUCGGGGCCCUAGGCAAUUGAAUAGUUUGCUUGCCUUGCAAUGAGCCUGCCUAUAAAGACUUUGCCCACCACUGCCUUGCAUGUUAUAGUGCUACAUACAGAUACCUGACACAAGCUGCCUAUUCCCAAACCAUACAUCACCAGUUAUUAUAAUUAUAUAUUACAGCUCUGGAAAAAAAGAGACCAGUUAAUGAUUAUGUUUUUUUUCUUGAUUUUACCUAAUUGAAAACCUCUAGAAUAGAAUCAAGAGGGAGAUGGAUGAUCACAAGCCAUCAAACCAAACUGAACUACUUAAAUUUUUGAGUGGUAUAAAGUCAUCCAAAAGCAGUGUGUAAGACUGGUGGAGGAGAACAUGCCAUGAUGCAUGAAAACUGUGAUUAAAAAACAGGGUUAUUCCACCAAAUAUUGAUUUUUGUACUCUUAAAACUUUAUGAAUAGUUUCUGUUUUCUUUGCAUUAUUUGAGGUCUAAAAGCUCUGCAUAUUUUUUGUUAUUUCAGUCAUUUCUCAUUUUCUUCGAAUAAAUGAUCUAAAUGACAUUUUUAUUUGGAAGUG
This 993-nucleotide long non-coding RNA is filed under the name Astyanax mexicanus (Mexican tetra). RNAcentral describes it as "lncRNA (ENSAMXG00005018031.1)". Lineage: Eukaryota; Metazoa; Chordata; Actinopteri; Characiformes; Acestrorhamphidae. The record is from RNAcentral.